Hypomesus transpacificus is the source of this 550-nucleotide long non-coding RNA. RefSeq lists it as uncharacterized. The transcript has 4 exons. The record is from RefSeq and is a predicted model, not a curated record. NCBI's taxonomy places the organism in Eukaryota, Metazoa, Chordata, Actinopteri, Osmeriformes, Osmeridae.
UGCCGAAACCAAACUCUUCCAGUCAGGUCAGGACUGGUUAGAGAAAUGGACGACGCAGAAAUGGAAGUUGACCAUGAUGGGACAACUAUCAAAGAGGUGGAAACGGAUUGGAAAAAUCAGGAUGAUCUUUCACUCCAUUCCUUUGAUGAGGCAGAUUUUCUGGUCAGUAAUUUAUGCAUAGCGAUAGGUGAAAGGGAUGACACAGAAUUGGUAAGAUCCUUAUUUUACAUAAACCUAAAUGGUUAAUCAUCAAACAUGGUCAAAUACCUCUGAGUGACUGUGUCUCUAAUGUAGGAAGUGGAACGUGGUGGGAACACUAUCCGUCAAACCGUAGAUUACGAUGACCUCUCUCUACGUUCAGUCAGCGAGAGAGAUUUUCUGUCUGAUGAGGACCGUGACCGCCAGCAGAAUCCACUUCUGGAUAAACGCCUGAAUCAUGUUAUGGAUUACGAAGCCCAGGGCCUUCUUCCUUCUUCUGUGAGAGCUGUGACCGAGCCUUGCGUCUCUAAUGACAUGCACCCCCCCAUGCUACAAGAUCAGAAGAGGCGCG